GCAUUGCGAUGGUCCCUGCGGAUG
This 24-nucleotide non-coding RNA is filed under the name Arabidopsis thaliana (thale cress). RNAcentral also lists the same sequence under 1 other name. The record is from RNAcentral. Lineage: Eukaryota; Viridiplantae; Streptophyta; Magnoliopsida; Brassicales; Brassicaceae.